RNAcentral lists this transfer RNA (58 nucleotides) under Rattus norvegicus (Norway rat). The record is from Rfam by way of RNAcentral. Lineage: Eukaryota; Metazoa; Chordata; Mammalia; Rodentia; Muridae.
UGGCUCUAUGGUUAAGAGCAUUGGCUGUUCUUCCAAAGGGCCUGGGUUCAAUUCCCAG